RNAcentral lists this microRNA (20 nucleotides) under Ananas comosus (pineapple). Its description in RNAcentral is "microRNA s0784_c108a". Lineage: Eukaryota; Viridiplantae; Streptophyta; Magnoliopsida; Poales; Bromeliaceae. The record is from RNAcentral.
AAAUCCCAAACCGAUUCAUA